This 639-nucleotide ribosomal RNA is filed under the name Triticum aestivum (bread wheat). Its description in RNAcentral is "partial small subunit ribosomal RNA". Lineage: Eukaryota; Viridiplantae; Streptophyta; Magnoliopsida; Poales; Poaceae. The record is from RNAcentral.
AUGACCAUGCCAGGAGACAACAGUGGCAUAGCCGGCUUGGUGUGUUUGAAUUGGACAGCUCGGGGCAACAGGAUGAGCAACGACAGCUAUGCAAGCGGGUCCCCAAGCAAACAGAGGCAAGAAGAGGACCCGGGACGGGACAAGGCAUCGGGCAGCAGCACUGGCGCCCUUGGCGCCGCCGAUGAUGGAUUCAAGCAAGGAAGGGGUCGCGUCCAAAGGAGAGGAAGGAGGCCGGGAGGCGGCGGAUCCGGGCGAGGGAACCCGUUCCCGGCGUUGGAGGCCUUGAGCGGAGGUCUGGGGGUGCGGAGGAGCUGUGGAGGCGAUGCAGGAGAUGGAGACAGGGAACGGUGGGAGCAGAGGAGCUCACGACGACACAGCAAAUGGGGAGGCCCUCAAGCAGAGGAGCGGGCGACAUGGAGGGGCGCAACAGUGCAGCGGCAGAAGGGCGCGACGACGGCGGGGUCUCGGCGGCUGCGGCAAGGGAAGAAGGCGCGGGCGGGCAAGCUCGCCGGAGGGCGCAAGGAUAAGCGGGAUCGGGAGCGGGGCUCUGCUCCUCUCCCUUUCUCUGUGGGAGGCAGCGCAGGGGAGGAGACGAGAGGGCGAUGGGGGCGAGAGAGAUGUGUGGACUGGUCGGGCUAG